AUAACGAUCUUUCCAUGUGAUCUUAUUUCUCUGGAUAUUUACUUUACUUUGGACAGAAUUUUCUUGUUUAACUAUAUCAAUCCAAUUUUGUGGAAUGGAUUGUUUCAAUUUAUGAAAUUCAGCAAUCCAGUUUACUUUACACUUUAAUUUGUUCAAAAUAUAAUUUUCUGAUAGUGACAUAGUGUCAUCUAGAAUGUCAUUCAAGUAUAUUUAUAUCACUUUUAAUCCAGUUUUCAAAGAUAAUUGGUUUCUUAUGAAUGCAAUAAAUUUAUUCCCCCA
RNAcentral lists this long non-coding RNA (279 nucleotides) under Mytilus galloprovincialis (Mediterranean mussel). Lineage: Eukaryota; Metazoa; Mollusca; Bivalvia; Mytilida; Mytilidae. The record is from RNAcentral.